UACGUAGGGAGCAAGCGUUGUUCGGAUUUACUGGGCGUAAAGGGCGCGUAGGCGGCGUGUUAAGUCGGCUGUGAAAUCUCCAAGCUCAACUUGGAACGGCCAGCUGAUACUGAUGUGCUAGAGUGCAGAAGGGGCAAUCGGAAUUCUUGGUGUAGCGGUGAAAUGCGUAGAUAUCAAGAGGAACAUCUGAGGUGAAGACGGGUUGCUGGGCUGACACUGACGCUGAGGCGCGAAAGCCAGGGGAGCAAACGGG
RNAcentral lists this ribosomal RNA (253 nucleotides) under uncultured bacterium. RNAcentral's name for it is "partial 16S ribosomal RNA". It matches the Rfam family "Bacterial small subunit ribosomal RNA", at positions 524 to 776 of the family's 1533-position model. The record is from RNAcentral.